This 448-nucleotide ribosomal RNA is filed under the name uncultured soil bacterium. Its description in RNAcentral is "bacterial SSU rRNA". It matches the Rfam family "Bacterial small subunit ribosomal RNA", at positions 26 to 524 of the family's 1533-position model. The record is from RNAcentral.
AGAACGAACGCUGGCGGCAUGCCUAAUACAUGCAAGUCGAACGGACUCUUCGGAGUUAGUGGCGCACGGGUGCGUAACGCGUGGGAAUCUGCCCUUGGGUUCGGAAUAACAGUUGGAAACGACUGCUAAUACCGGAUGAUGACGAAAGUCCAAAGAUUUAUCGCCCAGGGAUGAGCCCGCGUAGGAUUAGCUAGUUGGUGAGGUAAAGGCUCACCAAGGCGACGAUCCUUAGCUGGUCUGAGAGGAUGAUCAGCCACACUGGGACUGAGACACGGCCCAGACUCCUACGGGAGCAGCAGUAGGGAAUAUGGACAAUGGCGAAAGCCUGAUCCAGCAAUGCCGCGUGAGUGAUGAAGGCCUUAGGUGUAAAGCUACGUUUACCCGAGUAUGAUAAUGACAGUAGCGGAAGAAUAACGCCCGGACUAACUCCGUAGCCGAGCACGCCGAC